CCAGACUGACUUUUUCACCUGUGACAUACAAAGCACAUCCAGCUUUACAUUUCAGCACAUAGAGAUAAAGUAUGGUGGCCAGACAGUGCUUCUAAGUAAUCUGCCUUUAGUUCAUCAGGUCCUUCUGAUAGUGCGUUUGAUGCUGAUACUUUGUGUCACAGGUGUGUUAGUGUUUAUCUGUUGCUGGCAAGGGAGACUCACCGCUAUGAUGAACGAGCUCUGACCACAGAUGUCUAGCUCUCCGGCCGUUCUCACAGGGAACAAGUUCAGGUCAUUGAAGCUUUCUGAUACUACAGGCUACAAAGGUAGUACAUAUGAAGUCAUUGUAUUUUAGGUGGAAUGUUACUAUUAAGAGACCAUUUGAAGUGGUUAUUACACUGUAAUUAUUAUAAGUGUGGCCUUAUUUUUUAUAUAAUUGUUAUGUUCUUUUUACCAAGUGUGUACUUCUAUAUUCUUUUUA
Long non-coding RNA from Mugil cephalus (flathead mullet), 460 nucleotides. RefSeq lists it as uncharacterized. The record is from RefSeq and is a predicted model, not a curated record. Lineage: Eukaryota; Metazoa; Chordata; Actinopteri; Mugiliformes; Mugilidae. The transcript has 3 exons.